Delphinapterus leucas (beluga whale) is the source of this 1670-nucleotide long non-coding RNA. Lineage: Eukaryota; Metazoa; Chordata; Mammalia; Artiodactyla; Monodontidae. The record is from Ensembl.
GGGGGAACUACCUCUCUCUCAGGGAGUCAGCACUUUCAGAGAGUACGGCUGCCGUGGGAGGGAGUUCUGGGUGGGACCUGAUGGGGAAGUCUGCAUGAGGCCCACAGAUGCUUGGGUGCUGGGGAGGAGACAAUAAAAACAGGCAGGAGAGCUGGGAGCCUUGACUGAAGAAUGGAGAAGAGUGCCCCUUACAUUUGUCACAGACCAACCUGAGGUGGCUCUUCAGGACAGAUCUUUAACAGUAGUAAUAAUAAUAGCAAUAAACUACAUAGCUCUAAGCACUUUAUGUACGUUGGUUCAUUAAUGAUCAGGAACCUGAGGUGCAGAGAGGUUGAUAACUUGUCUGAGGUAGAGCUAGUAAGUAGUAGAGCUUUGAAUCUAGGCAGCCUGGCUCCAGGAUCCAUGUGUUUAUCCCUCAGCUGUCUCCCAAAUGACUGGCAAGAGAGGAUACGAGUCCGUAAAACCCUGGAUUAUGUCUGUUUCUUUAUCCCAGCGAUUCCAAAGUGAGUCACUCCAAUUUGAUGUGUACUUUAAAAUAGAGAGAGGGAAGGAUACUGUCCUUGUGUCCUUGAAUUCAGGUGAGAGUGAGUGAGGGGGGAGAUCACUUUGAGUCAAAAGGUUCUGGGAUGCCUACCCUCCUGGCUGGAACUUUGGAGGAUGAAUUGAUCACAUCUGAGGAAAUUCUGUCUUUUUAAAAUUUAGUAAAAAAAAUUUUUUUUGGCUGUGCUGUAUGGCAUGUGGGAUCUUAGUUCCCCGACUGGGAAUCGAACCUGUGCCCCCUGCAGUGGCAGCAUUGAGUCUUAACCACUGGACCGCCAGGAAAGUCCCAAGGGAAUGCUGUCUUAUCCGGUCUAAAGGUGAUGUUAUUGAACCUGUGUCUUUCCUCAUCAGCCUGCUCCUGGAAGUGGUGGGCAGCUGAAGCCAAGAUGACAAAGGAGAAGAUUAGAGGUACUGGAGACCUAACCAAGCCAUGGACCUGGAAGAUGAAAAGUGAGUGCCAGGACCUGCCCUGCUGUCCCGGGAGCGCGCAAAUAACUCCUCCCAAUAAAAAAGAAAGGACGUUUUUAACAUCCAAGGGUUGGAAGGACAUUGGGGCAGUGACUGCCCUGCAUUCAGCACAAGCCACAGACGGACUACAGUUCCCAGCGUACCUUGCAGUUACACGUGCCCUGGGGAUAGGGCGGAAGUGAGGCUCACUGCUCGCGGCCCUGGCCGGUAAAAUCCCCCACAAUCCUCCUCGCUUUCAUCCCCCACAAUCCUCCUCACUCUCAUCCCCCACGUGUGGAGGCAGGUGCUAAGCUUCCCGCGAAAGACCGAGUUCCCAGGUAGUGGCUGAGUCACAGGGUAACAGGAGCCGGAGUGCCCACAUGGCCAUGUGGAAGGCCACUGUCAACCCGGAAUAUUUUCACUGGAUUCUGAGUGAGCGAGUGUGGAGCCGUAACUCGGACUUCUGAGGAGGGGACAGUGGUCUGCAGUAUGGUACUGAUAUCUCUGGGAGCUUGAUGAGGCUCCUUCUGGGAAAGAGGAAGUAAACUGGAAACCGGAACCAACUGCUUCUAGAACUAGCAGCUGCCGCCAGGUAAGAAGUGGUGCGCAGGUGACAUUGAUGGGUGUAGCAAAACAAAGCAACCCACAGAAACAUGAAAAAACAAGCAAAACCCCCAGACAAG